RNAcentral lists this ribosomal RNA (1529 nucleotides) under Bacteroides fragilis. Its description in RNAcentral is "bacterial SSU rRNA". It matches the Rfam family "Bacterial small subunit ribosomal RNA". Lineage: Bacteria; Pseudomonadati; Bacteroidota; Bacteroidia; Bacteroidales; Bacteroidaceae. The record is from RNAcentral.
ACAAUGAAGAGUUUGAUCCUGGCUCAGGAUGAACGCUAGCUACAGGCUUAACACAUGCAAGUCGAGGGGCAUCAGGAAGAAAGCUUGCUUUCUUUGCUGGCGACCGGCGCACGGGUGAGUAACACGUAUCCAACCUGCCCUUUACUCGGGGAUAGCCUUUCGAAAGAAAGAUUAAUACCCGAUAGCAUAAUGAUUCCGCAUGGUUUCAUUAUUAAAGGAUUCCGGUAAAGGAUGGGGAUGCGUUCCAUUAGGUUGUUGGUGAGGUAACGGCUCACCAAGCCUUCGAUGGAUAGGGGUUCUGAGAGGAAGGUCCCCCACAUUGGAACUGAGACACGGUCCAAACUCCUACGGGAGGCAGCAGUGAGGAAUAUUGGUCAAUGGGCGCUAGCCUGAACCAGCCAAGUAGCGUGAAGGAUGAAGGCUCUAUGGGUCGUAAACUUCUUUUAUAUAAGAAUAAAGUGCAGUAUGUAUACUGUUUUGUAUGUAUUAUAUGAAUAAGGAUCGGCUAACUCCGUGCCAGCAGCCGCGGUAAUACGGAGGAUCCGAGCGUUAUCCGGAUUUAUUGGGUUUAAAGGGAGCGUAGGUGGACUGGUAAGUCAGUUGUGAAAGUUUGCGGCUCAACCGUAAAAUUGCAGUUGAUACUGUCAGUCUUGAGUACAGUAGAGGUGGGCGGAAUUCGUGGUGUAGCGGUGAAAUGCUUAGAUAUCACGAAGAACUCCGAUUGCGAAGGCAGCUCACUGGACUGCAACUGACACUGAUGCUCGAAAGUGUGGGUAUCAAACAGGAUUAGAUACCCUGGUAGUCCACACAGUAAACGAUGAAUACUCGCUGUUUGCGAUAUACAGUAAGCGGCCAAGCGAAAGCAUUAAGUAUUCCACCUGGGGAGUACGCCGGCAACGGUGAAACUCAAAGGAAUUGACGGGGGCCCGCACAAGCGGAGGAACAUGUGGUUUAAUUCGAUGAUACGCGAGGAACCUUACCCGGGCUUAAAUUGCAGUGGAAUGAUGUGGAAACAUGUCAGUGAGCAAUCACCGCUGUGAAGGUGCUGCAUGGUUGUCGUCAGCUCGUGCCGUGAGGUGUCGGCUUAAGUGCCAUAACGAGCGCAACCCUUAUCUUUAGUUACUAACAGGUUAUGCUGAGGACUCUAGAGAGACUGCCGUCGUAAGAUGUGAGGAAGGUGGGGAUGACGUCAAAUCAGCACGGCCCUUACGUCCGGGGCUACACACGUGUUACAAUGGGGGGUACAGAAGGCAGCUAGCGGGUGACCGUAUGCUAAUCCCAAAAGCCUCUCUCAGUUCGGAUCGAAGUCUGCAACCCGACUUCGUGAAGCUGGAUUCGCUAGUAAUCGCGCAUCAGCCACGGCGCGGUGAAUACGUUCCCGGGCCUUGUACACACCGCCCGUCAAGCCAUGGGAGCCGGGGGUACCUGAAGUACGUAACCGCAAGGAUCGUCCUAGGGUAAAACUGGUGACUGGGGCUAAGUCGUAACAAGGUAGCCGUACCGGAAGGUGCGGCUGGAACACCUCCUUU